Ornithodoros turicata is the source of this 299-nucleotide long non-coding RNA. RefSeq lists it as uncharacterized. NCBI's taxonomy places the organism in Eukaryota, Metazoa, Arthropoda, Arachnida, Ixodida, Argasidae. The record is from RefSeq and is a predicted model, not a curated record. The transcript has 2 exons.
UUAGCGGAACGCUACAGUGUUUCCACACAAGUGCCGUUACUUCUGCAACCGAGGAUCUGUACCAGUGCUCUACGGAUAUUACGAGCAAUUCACGCCGUGCUGGGAUGGCACGACGGAGCGCAAAACAGGAACAUGUAUCUAUAGCCGUGUCACAAAGCCAUCUAUUAGGUGUGACACAAAUCAGCCCGCCGUAACAUCUCCACCAAAAACAGCUACGACGACGGAGCUGCCCUCCGAUAUAUAUGAGUAAAAUCACACGUGGCGUGCCAUAUCGAAAAAUAAAUAAAUAAAUAAAUGUG